UGUGGUCGAGUCAGAUUCAGGUUUCUAUCCUUUCAUGGUGGGAGCUGGCCCAGAUGGCUCCUCAACAAGGUCUGUUGCUCAUGGGCUCUGCGCCCUGCAUUGGGGUCUGUGGGUAAGUGCGGCUGCAGACAAAA
RNAcentral lists this small nucleolar RNA (134 nucleotides) under Meriones unguiculatus (Mongolian gerbil). Its description in RNAcentral is "Small nucleolar RNA SNORA5 (ENSMUGG00000026665.1)". It matches the Rfam family "Small nucleolar RNA SNORA5". Rfam says of the family: ACA5 is a member of the H/ACA class of snoRNA that guide the sites of modification of uridines to pseudouridines. Lineage: Eukaryota; Metazoa; Chordata; Mammalia; Rodentia; Muridae. The record is from RNAcentral.